AUCAUAAACCAGUGGCAGUAUCAUAGCCAAUGAGAUAUAUCUGAGGAGAGAUUAUUGCUAAUAGAGAACUUCUCCCAAGACCUUGUGUGCUGACUUGAAAUAUAGUCAGCAUUGGCAAUUUGUGACAGUUUCUGUGGAGA
This is a small nuclear RNA of Sorex araneus (European shrew), 140 nucleotides long. Its record names the gene U4. It matches the Rfam family "U4 spliceosomal RNA". From Rfam's summary of the family: U4 small nuclear RNA (U4 snRNA) is a component of the major U2-dependent spliceosome. The structure of U4 snRNA from yeast and human has been reported. U4 snRNA presents a k-turn RNA motif in the 5p-SL related to recognition of Snu13 protein. The record is from Ensembl. Lineage: Eukaryota; Metazoa; Chordata; Mammalia; Eulipotyphla; Soricidae.